This 838-nucleotide ribosomal RNA is filed under the name uncultured bacterium. RNAcentral describes it as "bacterial SSU rRNA". It matches the Rfam family "Bacterial small subunit ribosomal RNA", at positions 60 to 857 of the family's 1533-position model. The record is from RNAcentral.
AGUCGAGCGAGCUUGCCUAGAUGAGUUUGGUGCUUGCACCAGAUGAAACUAGAUACAAGCGAGCGGCGGACGGGUGAGUAACACGUGGGUAACCUGCCCAAGAGACUGGGAUAACACCUGGAAACAGAUGCUAAUACCGGAUAACAACACUAGACGCAUGUCUAGAGUUUAAAAGAUGGUUCUGCUAUCACUCUUGGAUGGACCUGCGGUGCAUUAGCUAGUUGGUAAGGUAACGGCUUACCAAGGCAAUGAUGCAUAGCCGAGUUGAGAGACUGAUCGGCCACAUUGGGACUGAGACACGGCCCAAACUCCUACGGGAGGCAGCAGUAGGGAAUCUUCCACAAUGGACGCAAGUCUGAUGGAGCAACGCCGCGUGAGUGAAGAAGGGUUUCGGCUCGUAAAGCUCUGUUGGUAGUGAAGAAAGAUAGAGGUAGUAACUGGCCUUUAUUUGACGGUAAUUACUUAGAAAGUCACGGCUAACUACGUGCCAGCAGCCGCGGUAAUACGUAGGUGGCAAGCGUUGUCCGGAUUUAUUGGGCGUAAAGCGAGUGCAGGCGGUUCAAUAAGUCUGAUGUGAAAGCCUUCGGCUCAACCGGAGAAUUGCAUCAGAAACUGUUGAACUUGAGUGCAGAAGAGGAGAGUGGAACUCCAUGUGUAGCGGUGGAAUGCGUAGAUAUAUGGAAGAACACCAGUGGCGAAGGCGGCUCUCUGGUCUGCAACUGACGCUGAGGCUCGAAAGCAUGGGUAGCGAACAGGAUUAGAUACCCUGGUAGUCCAUGCCGUAAACGAUGAGUGCUAAGUGUUGGGAGGUUUCCGCCUCUCAGUGCUGCAGCUAACG